UAGCAACCUCCUCCUGCCUUUGGGCAUUGGUGUUCCUGGUUCUUAAGCAUUUGGGCUUGAACUGGAGCUACACCACCAGCUUUCCUGGGUCUCCAGCUUGCAGUUAACAAAUGGUGGAACUUCUCAGCCUCCAUAAUCCGACAUGUGGCAGGCAAGUUAAUCUUCAGUGGAAUAUGCAAAUAGGAUUUCUGAAUUUGGCAUGCAAAUGAAUUUGAGAGCUUCUGGGAGCAUCUCUUCCAAGAUUCUGGUAAGCCUUUCUUCCUGGGCGAAACUUAGCAGAGGAAGGUAUAGAGAAGACCUAAGAAAGACCAAGGAGAAUUUGUGUCACUAAAAUUUGAAGCUUUGAUUCCGAAAUUUUAUUCAGCCUGAGUUGGUCAUUUGACUUUUACUGCUAUCAACUUGGGAGUUAAGGUGGUUAUGGUAUGGGGGUGGGUUUUAGGGCAAUAUGUAUGAUGAAGACUGAAAAUCAAGUUUGCAGAAAGAAAACAAAACAAAAUGAAAAUUAAAUAAAUUAUCAGGGAAGGCGAGAUGAGGGACUAAGAUGUGAAUAAGAGAGAAAAGACCAAUGUGAUUUCUAAUGGUUUUGCAGUUUUUGGUUCCAGUCCUCUGGGAAGCCUAGCGGUAUUUUCUGAUGAUAGUUUUCAUAAAAUAUUCAUCUAUGUUAUUUAAAAAGACUACUUUCUUUGGCCUCACAAGUAUAACUACAUGAUUAAUGUAAUAGUGAUGAUAUUAAUCUUAUAAUAAUAUGCUCUUUAUCUUUAUAAACAUGAUUCCCAAAUAAACUUUCUACCAUUUCAGUCUUAAAGAAGAGGAACAGUGCUGUUUAUUAAAAGGAUCAGACAAGGAGUAAAUGUGGAAUGAUCACUCUUCCCAGACCUAAUUGACUGCAGGAGGAACAGUCUGAAAUUGGGGAAAACAUCACACUACACCUAUACCUUAACUUCUCUCUGCAAACCUAAGCCCCAGAAAUAGGAUAUACAUUACCCUAUAUUGAAAUAAAAGCAAAAAUGAAGGUAUCUUUGCCCUACUCACAUUUGAGACUCUCAGAGGAGACUACCUUGAAGAAUGAUCCUGCUA
Molecule: long non-coding RNA, 1077 nt
Filed under: Homo sapiens (human)
Lineage: Eukaryota; Metazoa; Chordata; Mammalia; Primates; Hominidae
Description: HSALNT0019218
Source: RNAcentral